CUAGCUGUAAACGAUGGAUACUAGGCGUUGAGAGUAUCGACCCUCUCAGUGUCGUAGCUAACGCGUUAAGUAUCCCGCCUGGGGAGUACGCGCGCAAGCGUGAAACUCAAAGGAAUUGACGGGGGCCCGCACAAGCGGUGGAGUAUGUGGUUUAAUUCGAUGCAACGCGAAGAACCUUACCAGGGCUUGACAUGUCCGGAACCCUGCCCAAAAGCGGGGGUGCCUACGGGAACCGGAACACAGGUGGUGC
This 250-nucleotide ribosomal RNA is filed under the name uncultured Chroococcidiopsis sp. RNAcentral's name for it is "partial 16S ribosomal RNA". It matches the Rfam family "Bacterial small subunit ribosomal RNA", at positions 796 to 1044 of the family's 1533-position model. The record is from RNAcentral. Lineage: Bacteria; Bacillati; Cyanobacteriota; Cyanophyceae; Chroococcidiopsidales; Chroococcidiopsidaceae.